GCCCGAGUGGCGGAAUUGGUAUACGCGGCGGACUUAAAAUCCGCUUCCUUUACCGGAUUAUGAGUUCGAGUCUCAUCUCGGGCACCA
RNAcentral lists this transfer RNA (87 nucleotides) under Candidatus Saccharimonadota bacterium. RNAcentral describes it as "tRNA-Leu". It matches the Rfam family "tRNA". From Rfam's summary of the family: Transfer RNA (tRNA) molecules are approximately 80 nucleotides in length. Their secondary structure includes four short double-helical elements and three loops (D, anti-codon, and T loops). Further hydrogen bonds mediate the characteristic L-shaped molecular structure. tRNAs have two regions of fundamental functional importance: the anti-codon, which is responsible for specific mRNA codon recognition, and the 3' end, to which the tRNAs corresponding amino acid is attached (by aminoacyl-tRNA synthetases). tRNAs cope with the degeneracy of the genetic code in two manners: having more than one tRNA (with a specific anti-codon) for a particular amino acid; and 'wobble' base-pairing, i.e. permitting non-standard base-pairing at the 3rd anti-codon position. Lineage: Bacteria; Candidatus Saccharimonadota. RNAcentral also lists the same sequence under 1 other name. The record is from RNAcentral.